RNAcentral lists this long non-coding RNA (216 nucleotides) under Mytilus galloprovincialis (Mediterranean mussel). Lineage: Eukaryota; Metazoa; Mollusca; Bivalvia; Mytilida; Mytilidae. The record is from RNAcentral.
CUCGAAUGGUUAAAUUGUAAAGUCGAUCGUAAUUUAAUGCAUUAUAAAACAUGUGAACAAUUUGCAGUGACAGACCUAGAUGAGAAAUGUGUAUUUGUAACGGGAUCUUCAAAUUUUAAGUAAGAUUUUGUACUUGCUGGUGAACAAACAGAACAGCACAAAAAUCUACUGGAAUAAAGAAGAGAAAAGCAGCUGAGGAAAAUAAAACAAAAAAUC